GCGUGCCUAAUACAUGCAAGUCGAGCGGACAGAUGGGAGCUUGCUCCCUGAUGUUAGCGGCGGACGGGUGAGUAACACGUGGGUAACCUGCCUGUAAGACUGGGAUAACUCCGGGAAACCGGGGCUAAUACCGGAUGGUUGUUUGAACCGCAUGGUUCAGACAUAAAAGGUGGCUUCGGCUACCACUUACAGAUGGACCCGCGGCGCAUUAGCUAGUUGGUGAGGUAACGGCUCACCAAGGCAACGAUGCGUAGCCGACCUGAGAGGGUGAUCGGCCACACUGGGACUGAGACACGGCCCAGACUCCUACGGGAGGCAGCAGUAGGGAAUCUUCCGCAAUGGACGAAAGUCUGACGGAGCAACGCCGCGUGAGUGAUGAAGGUUUUCGGAUCGUAAAGCUCUGUUGUUAGGGAAGAACAAGUGCCGUUCAAAUAGGGCGGCACCUUGACGGUACCUAACCAGAAAGCCACGGCUAACUACGUGCCAGCAGCCGCGGUAAUACGUAGGUGGCAAGCGUUGUCCGAAUUAUUGGGCGUAAGGGCUCGCAGGCGGUUCUUAAUCUGAUGGAAACCCCCGCUCACC
Molecule: ribosomal RNA, 582 nt
Filed under: uncultured bacterium
Lineage: Bacteria
Description: bacterial SSU rRNA
Rfam family: Bacterial small subunit ribosomal RNA
Source: RNAcentral